This 253-nucleotide ribosomal RNA is filed under the name uncultured bacterium. RNAcentral describes it as "partial 16S ribosomal RNA". It matches the Rfam family "Bacterial small subunit ribosomal RNA", at positions 524 to 776 of the family's 1533-position model. The record is from RNAcentral.
UACGUAGGGUGCGAGCGUUAAUCGGAAUUACUGGGCGUAAAGCGUGCGCAGGCGGCGCGUUAAGACAGGUGUGAAAGCCCCGAGCUUAACUUGGGAAUUGCGCUUGUGACUGGCGUGCUGGAGUGUGGCAGAGGGAGGUGGAAUUCCACGUGUAGCAGUGAAAUGCGUAGAGAUGUGGGGGAACACCGAUGGCGAAGGCAGCCUCCUGGGCCAGCACUGACGCUCAUGCACGAAUGCGUGGGGAGCAAACAGG